Molecule: long non-coding RNA, 388 nt
Organism: Scatophagus argus
Lineage: Eukaryota; Metazoa; Chordata; Actinopteri; Scatophagidae
Exons: 4
Source: RefSeq, a predicted model, not a curated record
CACUGUGAUGCUGGUGACCACAAAAUCCCCCCAGAGGUCCUGUGUUCCUGACCCUGACAGCUCAGAGCUGUUCGGGCAGCACAAAGGGGGCGGCUGAUUGGUGAUUGGGGGACCUGCGACAUGUUAAACAGGCCUGAGUUGCUGCAUCGUCCUUAUAAUCAGCCCGUCCAUAUGUUCAGGCUGUUAUCUGUUCUAAUCCUAAUCAUCCUUUGACCCAGUGGGACUCCACUGCCGCAGGUCGGUCACAGGAGGAUCAAAUAACCUGACUUCAGUGAUACUGAGCCUGGGCCUGAUGGAGGUGGCUCUUCGGGUUUCACGUUGCAAUGGUAACGCCAGCAUCACAAACUAACUGCCAGCAGGAGAAAUACACCCCAAAGCACAUCAAGAC